This 253-nucleotide ribosomal RNA is filed under the name uncultured bacterium. Its description in RNAcentral is "partial 16S ribosomal RNA". It matches the Rfam family "Bacterial small subunit ribosomal RNA", at positions 524 to 775 of the family's 1533-position model. The record is from RNAcentral.
GACAGAGGGUGCAAACGUUGUUCGGAAUUACUGGGCGUAAAGCGCGUGUAGGUGGCAAGGCAAGUCGGGUGUGAAAGCCCUGGGCUCAACCCAGGAAGUGCACUCGAUACUGCCUCGCUAGAGUCCCGGAGAGGUUGGUGGAACUCUCGGUGUAGAGGUGAAAUUCGUAGAUAUCGAGAAGAACACCGGUGGCGAAGGCGGGUCUCUGGGCAACAACUGACGCUGGAGGAGCGAAAGCGUGGGGAGCGAACAG